GACGAACGCUGGCGGCGUGCUUAACACAUGCAAGUCGAACGGAAAGGCCCUGCUUUUGUGCGGUGCUCGAUUGGCGAACGGGUGAGUAACACGUGAGUAACCUGCUCUUGUCUUUGGGAUAACUUCAGGAAACUGGGGCUAAUACCGGAUAGGAGCUCCUGCUGCAUGGUGGGGGUUGGAAAGUUUCGGCGGUUGGGGAUGGACUCGCGGCUUAUCAGCUUGUUGGUUGGGUAGUGGCUUACCAAGCCUUUGACGGGUAGCCGGCCUGAGAGGGUGACCGGGCACAUUGGGACUACGAGACGGCGCAGACUCCUACGGGAGGCAGCAGGGGGAAAUAUUGCACAAUGGGCGCAAGCCUGAUGCGACAACGCCGCGUGCGGGAUGACGUCCUUCGGGUUGUAAACCGCUUUCGCCUGUGACGAAGCGGGAGUGACGGUAAUGGGUAAAGAAGCACCGGCUAACUACGUG
Molecule: ribosomal RNA, 468 nt
Filed under: uncultured bacterium
Lineage: Bacteria
Description: partial 16S ribosomal RNA
Rfam family: Bacterial small subunit ribosomal RNA
Source: RNAcentral